Molecule: long non-coding RNA, 5563 nt
Organism: Gasterosteus aculeatus aculeatus (three-spined stickleback)
Lineage: Eukaryota; Metazoa; Chordata; Actinopteri; Perciformes; Gasterosteidae
Source: Ensembl
CAUGAGCUCAUUAAAGUGCACGAACCCUCUGUUGGGCUUUUUACUGCAUGAAAACAAUUGAUUACUUAAAAAACGGUCCCACCCUUUCCUAAAAGCACACGAGUGUGUAUAUAGGCUGCUACCAACAGCUCACAUACACCCUGAAUAGGAAGCACAUCUCUCUGACGGACACAAUCUUUUUUUUGAAGGAGGAUAUCGCUUGCUGGACUUACAGAAGUGCAACAAGAUCGGUCAUUGUUAUCUGUGGAGAAACAUGGGAAACGAGAACUCCAAGAACAAAGAACUGCAGAACAGGAACGGCAGGAUUCCUGAGAAGCAUAUAAAUGGAUCAGCGAACGGCCUCUCUGCGAACCUCUCAUCUAACGGCUUGGAGAUUUCUGCUAACGGUGAGGCCGCAGUCCAGAAGAAUGGCGAGUCCUCUUCUUUAAAGCGUGCGACUGAACCAAAUGAUUUUGUCGUUGUGGAAUUAGACGGUAAAGCUGCUGACGCUCCAGUUAUUUCUGAAAUCCUUGAAAUCGUCAUCCACAAGGAAGAGGUCAGGGAAAGUGAAGGAGAUCAAACGGAUGUUAGUCUCCCUGCCACCAAUCUACAGACGGAGUCAACCUCAAGUGGAGAAGAAGCAGCCGCAGCGAUGAUCGCUGUGCACCUAGACAGCGUAGAGUGUCCGCUUCGAAAAGCUGAAACAUCAACACAAACAGACGGGACAACUGAGGCAGAUAUCUCGACACAAACGUAUAAGAACGAGGAAGUCGCAACCACCGAUAACGAGGUUCCUGUUGAAGAAGCAGUCUCCAUGGAGACUGGAUCAACUGAAGAAGACCCUCUAAAUGUGUCGGCCCGCGUCAUUGUUCAGGAUGACGGGGAGUCCUCCGACAACCAGGCCGCUCGGACCAUCAAUGAGGGGGUGGUCAUGUAUGAAAAUAUGGUGUUCAGACUGGAACGGGCAGAACUUGAUGGAACUGAGUCAAACAUCACUGCAGAACCAGGUUUUAACCCAAAAGUAUCCGAGAUUGAAGAGGAAACAGUUGCAGAGGAAAAUAACAUUGGAGAAACAUCGGCAUCGGAGGUCUAUUACAGCUUUCCUAAAGUGGUGGCAGAUUGUGUUGAGGUGGUUUUUGCGGAUGCGCCUCAGUCCACCGGCUUUGCUGCUGUGGACUCGUCAGUGCUUGCAGACGGAGUAGCUACUGGAGACAAUGGCGAAGGAGCUGGACACACGUCAGUCGAUGCCGUGCAGACUGAAACCGCCAAACAUCAGUCCACUGAGGCCCGGAAAGCAAAUGCCGUUCGUUCCUCAGCCACCGCGCUGAUGGAGACAAUCUCUGAGGUUGUUUGCGAGGCACCUGAUCCCGCACCAGCAGACCACGAUGCGCCCGCAGAGCAUUCUUCUGCCCGUCUUGCAGUAGCACUUCUAGUUAAGGCAGAAUCUGCCCAUGAGGAGGUCACCGCUGAUGAUGCUGUUGCAACGGAGAUUGUACCAGAAACACCUCAACAAGCAAAACUGGACGACGAGCCCUCAGAGAAGUGCGAUAGUUGCCCUGAGCAUGACAUCAUCACUGCAGAGGCUCCCAAUAAGCCUGCCAUCAUUGAGGAGCUUCCCGUGGAACCAGAAAGAUAUGAAGAAGCAGAACCAAGUCCCGUACUUGCCAAAGACAGUGCUGAGGCAAUGUGGGAAGCGGCAAUCAAUGCCCUCUCUGAAGACUUCAGAGAAGAAUCUAGCAGCCUGCCUCGGGAGGCUGCAGCGGCCAAAGGCUUACCUCUGAUAGAGGAGGUGAUCACCGCGUCAACUUUUGCAGGCCUUCCAGGGGGCCAAGAAGCAAGCAUUGCUGUUGCAGAGGAGCUUUUUAAGAGGGUCACUGCAGAGGCUUUAUCAAAUGCAACUGAAACAGUAGCAGAAGACGCCACAAACACUGGUGAGGAGCCUGCAGAUGUGCCGCCGAUGGACGCCACGGGAGAGCCCGAGCUUUGCGUUUCGGUCCAAGAGAGACUCAGAGACGAGAACGUCGCCCCGGCAGAAGUACCAGCCAAUUCCAGGAGUUUGAGCCAUCUCGAGCGCCGACCAAAGUCCAGCGCGCAGAUCGUCGCCAUGGAGACAAUUGAAGACGGGGCUGUGAGACAGAUAAUGCAUGAAACAGAUACUUCUGCGGUGGAUGUCUCCCAGAUUACCACUUUGGAUGAGGCUAUGUCAGAGAGUUUCGACGCUGUCCUUGAGGCCAUUGUGGAAGAAAUCAUUAACGAGGACGUCUUCUCAGCUGACGGCCGCCUCGUGACUUCAGACGAGGUGUCACCAGAGGCCUUUGUAGAGGAAGACGCUGAAGAGGAUGCAGAGAAGGAAUCAAGUGUGAACUCAUCAGAUCCAACAGUGGACUCACAAAGUGUCACAAGAACAGACAUGGAAGCUUUAGCUGUUAGUUUGCAGUCGGCGUGUAAAUCAGUUGUUGAAGAAUCGACAAAUAGGCCUGGUAGUUUAAUGCUUCCUUCACUAGGAUACAGUAUCACGGUUACUGUUCAUGUGGCGCCAAAGCAGUAAAAUCCUUGUCUGAACUUUUUUGUUGAAAAUGAUUGGUCUGCCUCCAGGAUGUAAUGUGUUAAAUGAUUGAUGCGAAAGUAAUUACAACCCAAUUGUAAAAUUAUUUGUGUUUUAUCAUAACAAGCAAGUCCCUCUGUUUUUUUAUGCUUUAUUAACACUUGCUGAUUUUCCAAUAAAAUGAAAAAUGAAACCGUUCAUGAUUUUCUUCAUCAUCUGUUUGCAUUCCUUUGGUCGGUGUCAGGUGACAAAUAAUACCUACUUUCAAAAAAGUAGGGCCACUAAUGACUUUGAAAAACAAUGAAUUAGACAUUUGAACGUUAGCAGAUUCACUAAUGAUCUUUAAAUCAGAGUUGGUCAACGAUAACCCAGCAUCAAAACCCAGCAAAGGUAUUUGCGUUUCCUGACAUUCUUUUCUCCGGGCAAAACUCUCACACAUUGUUGAAUAUCAAUGAGUGAGGGGUGGGACACACGCAUUGAUAAAAGGCCGAUUGUUGACAGUGCCCCGAGUAGGCAGAGGCAUGGUUGGAAUUGUGUACUCCCAUCUCAAUGCUGCGAUUAAGACCCUCACUGCUUGCAUUAUAAGCCACGCUGCUCUAACGCAAUACUCAAAGGCUAAUUCUUUGUGAUGGUGUAUAGGAGACAGCUAAGCAAAAGCAAGGGUCAGAAUCAUUGACGGAGCCAGAGAGUGUGACUCUAGACUCUGACGAGGGAAACCAGGAGGACAAUAACCCAGAAGAGAAUCCAGUUAUGAACUUCUUCAAAUCUCUAACGACUUCCAAAAUAACCAAAAAGGAAACAGCUGCUCCUGUUGCCAUAAAAGACCAGUCCCAGAAGGAGAACCAACCAGCAGCAACCACUACCGUCGCACAAGUAUCUGAGCCGCCUGCAGCGCCCAAAGGAAUGUCUAUCCCACCGCCACCUCCUCCAGAGCCACCAAAAAUGGAUAUCAAGGCAGAACCAGCUGCUAAACCUGUCAAGGCCACACCAAGAGAAGAAGCAAAAGCUGUUGCCAAGCAACCCCAGUCCUCCAAAGGAAAAUCAGCAACUCUAAGCAAAUUUUUCCGUUCAAAGACAAACAAGGAGUCCCCACCAAAGCCAGACAUUGAAGUAGACGUACAACAAGUUGUAGAAGUAGAGGAGACACCAGUGGAAGCUCCUGAGCCAGUUGUUUUAGAAGUCAAGAGUGAAAAUAAUGUUGACCCCCAUGACUCAGCAGAGCAGGUGGCCCAGCCUGUUGUACAAGAGCAGAAGGUGGAUUCUUCAAAAGCUGGCACUUUGGAGGCUGCAGCGAAACCAGAACCGCCGCCGCCUGUGCAGGAAGCACAGAAAACUGCCUCAACAUCCUCCUUCUUUUCUCUCUUCAAGCCUAAAGCCGCUGAUCCCAAAAAGGCGAGUCCUGCCCCGGCUGCAGCCCCAGAGACAGUGAAAGCCAAGGAGGAACCCAAAGCAGCAGCCAAGUUAUCCGAGGCCGUGGUAGAUAAUAAACCUGCUUCAGUGGCCUCCCAGGCCGCAGGUGAUGCAGCCAAGGCGCCAAAGAAACUGGAGAAGAGGAACUCCAUCCAUCAGUUCUUUAAAAUUCUGGGCCAGAAGCGUAACUCGACAGAUGCCGGGAUCCAGACAGAGACGCUCGCUGUCGCUCCGGUACCCGAGAAGGUCAAAUGAAACCAAAAGCGAGAGUGAAGUUUCCCUGUACAGACUCCUUCUCUUUUUCUUGCCCUUACUCGGUUUUCAUGUGCCUCAUCUGUCUCAUUAUUCUUUAAACUCUUAUAGAAUUGCUUUAACUACAUUUUGAUUUUGUUAUUGUUCAUAAGUUACAAUACGCACGGAAUAGUGAGCGGAAAGGCAAAGGCAAGUAGUGAGAAAGACACACAGCAGGUAGUUGCACAAGUGGUGAUUUGAAAUGGUCCAUGGUGAGGUUGUUGAGAUAUUUACAGUAUAUACAGUACAUAUUGUGUUUGGACCCUGUGCCUUGACAAGUAUAGCAAAAUCAGUGUGAAAUCUUUUCUACAGACAUUUAAUGUAACUUCUCUCUGUUCUUGCACAUGAAACAGAAGGUAAAAGGCAUCGCUUUUAGCUUUGUGUUUGUCAAAAAAAAACAUUUAAAAAAGGUUCUAUUUUUUACAGUUCACACAAAAGAAAAUCACGCAGCUGUGGCCGUGCAGAGGUUCCCACGAAAUUGCAUCGCACUUAAAUCCAUAUGUGAUAUAUUAACAUUAACAGCUCUGAAAAGAGCAAAUAAGAAGAGCAUCUUAGUGUAACAAGAAGCACUUAGCAGUCAAGUAUCUGUAUCGAGGGUGAUGGGGAACUGGCUAUAUGCGUAAAAAAAUGCAUCUGAGAGAUGUGUCUUUGUGCUACGUUUUUACUAAUGACUCACAGUUGAUUAGUUUUACAUUUGAACUUUGUCUCAUGUAACUCAGUGGAAGUCUUGUAGCGUCAGUCAGCAAUUAACAUCACGCUUUUGGUGGCCUUGCUUGAUGUAUGCAUGUGUGUGCGUGUGUGUAACUUCAGCUAUCCUGAAGACAAUAAACCUGUUUAUCAUUCGUUGUAUCUUCAUGUGUGUACGCGGCAACUGAGAAACCCCGUGAAGAAUAACCGGCUGUUGCAUUCGGCAUCUGCCAAAAUAUGCACCUCAGUAAGUUUGGCAAAAAAAAAUAAAAAAUCACACAUCAAAUCUUAUAAUAAAUAUUUUAAUUCACACUAAACUAAACUCAUAAGGCGUGACACAUGAGUCCUACCUUGGGCGUCGGUGGAAAUACUGCCAGCCUUACUCACCCAUGGGUUUAUUUUGUUGGCUGAAAAACAAGUGACGGUGAUGACGGGCAGGGCCGUACAAACCAAAACUCACCUCAGAGCCGCCCGCCGUCCGCCCGCCCGCCUGAUGGACGGAGAGCCGUCUGCGGUCCGUCACUACCAAAUAUUACAUUCAGAGACACCUUAGAGAUAAAAAGAUGUUAAACGAGAUCUAAGGAAUUGUUUCAGGUAAAGCAAAGCCUCCCAUACUCUAUUUUCAUUUAUGAGGUAAUUCCAAUGAUGGAG